AGUGAACGCUGGCGGUAGGCCUAACACAUGCAAGUCGAACGGCAGCACAGUAAGAGCUUGCUCUUACGGGUGGCGAGUGGCGGACGGGUGAGGAAUACAUCGGAAUCUACUUUUUCGUGGGGGCUAACGUAGGGAAACUUACGCUAAUACCGCAUACGACCUACGGGUGCAAGCAGGGGAUCUUCGGACCUUGCGCGAUUGAAUGAGCCGAUGUCGGAUUAGCUAGUUGGCGGGGUAAAGGCCCACCAAGGCGACGAUCCGUAGCUGGUCUGAGAGGAUGAUCAGCCACACUGGAACUGAGACACGGUCCAGACUCCUGCGGGAGGCAGCAGUGGGGAAUAUUGGACAAUGGGCGCAAGCCUGAUCCAGCCAUGCCGCGUGGGUGAAGAAGGCCUUCGGGUUGUAAAGCCCUUUUGUUGGGAAAGAAAAGCAGCAGGUUAAUACCCCGCUGUUCUGACGGUACCCAAAGAAUAAGCACCGGCUAACUUCGUG
This 492-nucleotide ribosomal RNA is filed under the name uncultured bacterium. RNAcentral's name for it is "partial 16S ribosomal RNA". It matches the Rfam family "Bacterial small subunit ribosomal RNA", at positions 29 to 507 of the family's 1533-position model. The record is from RNAcentral.